CCUACGGGAGGCAGCAGUGAGGAAUAUUGGUCAAUGGACGAGAGUCUGAACCAGCCAAGUAGCGUGAAGGAUGACUGCCCUAUGGGUUGUAAACUUCUUUUAUAUGGGAAUAAAACGUUCCACGUGUGGGAUUUUGUAUGUACCAUAUGAAUAAGGAACGGCUAACUCCGUGCCAGCAGCCGCGGUAAUACGGAGGAUCCGAGCGUUAUCCGGAUUUAUUGGGUUUAAAGGGAGCGUAGGUGGAUUGUUAAGUCAGUUGUGAAAGUUUGCGGCUCAACCGUAAAAUUGCAGUUGAAACUGGCAGUCUUGAGUACAGUAGAGGUGGGCGGAAUUCGUGGUGUAGCGGUGAAAUGCUUAGAUAUCACGAAGAACUCCGAUUGCGAAGGCAGUUCACUGGACUGCAACUGACACUGAGGCUCGAAAGUGUGGGUAUCAAACAGGAUUAGAUACCCUAGUAGUC
Molecule: ribosomal RNA, 460 nt
Filed under: uncultured bacterium
Lineage: Bacteria
Description: partial 16S ribosomal RNA
Rfam family: Bacterial small subunit ribosomal RNA
Source: RNAcentral